UAGGCACUAGUAUAAAAACACAUCGCUUUGUCAAGGCGAAAUUGUGGGUUAAACCCCCGCGUGCCUU
RNAcentral lists this transfer RNA (67 nucleotides) under Microdous chalmersi. RNAcentral's name for it is "Sineleotris chalmersi tRNA-Asp". It matches the Rfam family "tRNA". From Rfam's summary of the family: Transfer RNA (tRNA) molecules are approximately 80 nucleotides in length. Their secondary structure includes four short double-helical elements and three loops (D, anti-codon, and T loops). Lineage: Eukaryota; Metazoa; Chordata; Actinopteri; Gobiiformes; Odontobutidae. The record is from RNAcentral.